UCUCAUAUGUUGGCCUGCGAGCGCCCUCGAAUUCACUAGUGAUCAGAGUAUGAUCCCGUUUCAGGAUGACCGCUGGCAGUGUGCUUAACACAUGCAUGUUGAACGUCCUCUUUUUGGGAGUGGCGAACGGGUGAGUAACGCGUGAGGAUCCACCCUUAGGAGCGGGACAACAGCUGGAAACGGUUGCUAAUUAAUUAUAUGGCGAGAGCUGAUAGACUUAUUUCCUGAGGAUGAACUCGCGUCUGAUUAGCUUGUUGAGAGGUAAGGGCUUUCCAAGGCGACGAUCAGUAGAAAGUCUUAGAGGAUGAUCAGCCACUCUUGGACUGAGACACGGCCCUGACUCCUACGGGAGGCAGCAGUGGGGAAUUUUCCGCAAUGGGGGCAACCCUGACGGAGCAACGCCGCGUGGGGGAGGAAUGUCUGUGGAUCCAAACCCCUUUUCUCAGGGAAGAAGGUCUGACGGUACCUGAGGAAUCAGCAUCGGCUAACUCCGUGCCAGCAGCCGCGGUAAGACGGAGGAUGCAAGCGUUAUCCGGAAUUAUUGGGCGUAAAGCGUCCGUAGGCGGUUCAUCAAGUCUGCUGUCAAAGGCUGCAGCUCAACUGUGGACAGGCAGUGGAAACUGAGGAACUUGAGUAUGGUAGGGGUAGAGGGAAUUCCCAGUGUAGCGGUGAAAUGCGUAGAUAUUGGGAAGAACACCAGUGGCGAAGGCGCUCUACUGGGCCAUAACUGACGCUGAGGGACGAAAGCUAGGGGAGCGAAAGGGAUUAGAUACCCCUGUAGUCCUAGCUGUAAACGAUGA
This 800-nucleotide ribosomal RNA is filed under the name uncultured Phormidium sp. RNAcentral's name for it is "bacterial SSU rRNA". It matches the Rfam family "Bacterial small subunit ribosomal RNA", at positions 1 to 812 of the family's 1533-position model. Lineage: Bacteria; Bacillati; Cyanobacteriota; Cyanophyceae; Oscillatoriales; Oscillatoriaceae. The record is from RNAcentral.